CUCCGCCUGAGAUCCGCAUUCCCGAUGGCGUGGAAGUGUUGUACUUCAAGCUGAACCAGGAGCAGCUCAACACGAGAGUCAAGCGAGCCAUCCUGCACGUGUGGCUAAAACCCAUCACGUCGGAGUUAGAUCGCAUCGUGCCAAUUUCAGUGUUCAAGGUGACAAGGCCUGAAGACCCAGAGGAUUACAUCAUACUCCAUGAGGUGACGACGGUCUCCGAAUCCGUUGAUGCCCGGGAUGGGAACUGGGUGAAGAUUGGCGUUUAUAAACUACUACAAGAAUGGCUGAACAAUCCCUCAGACAACCUCGGGCUGGUAGUCACUGCAAAUGACUCCGAAGGCCGACGGGUAGCAGUCACGAAUCCCGUGGAGAAUCCCUCUAAUGCGCCGUUGCU
Molecule: long non-coding RNA, 394 nt
Organism: Penaeus monodon (black tiger shrimp)
Lineage: Eukaryota; Metazoa; Arthropoda; Malacostraca; Decapoda; Penaeidae
Exons: 3
Source: RefSeq, a predicted model, not a curated record